This 2168-nucleotide long non-coding RNA is filed under the name Coffea arabica (coffee). RNAcentral's name for it is "long non-coding RNA (CARA_LNC005553)". The record is from RNAcentral. Lineage: Eukaryota; Viridiplantae; Streptophyta; Magnoliopsida; Gentianales; Rubiaceae.
CUUCAUCUUCUUGGCCGUGAGUUUGGAAAGGAAAAGAGAGAAGAAAAAUCACUAAGUUCAUCUUGAUUCUUGCCUUGCUUAAGUUAAAAUCACAAAACUAAACCGAACAAACUAGCACUAAGGAAGCAAGGAAGCUUGUAGCGGAGAGUUUUUGGAGAGGAAGCCUUGGUUUCUUCAUUUUCUUCAAGAGGUUGAAGGUAUAAGAUGAACAACUUCCUUUCUUUUUCUUAUUCUUGCAAAUCAUGGUGAGAUAACUUGAAAUUUUAUGGAUGAUAAUCUAGAUUUGGUGAAGAUUGAUGAAAUUUCAGCCUACGGUUAUGAUUUUUCAGCCUUGAUUUAUGUUAUUUAUCCCUAAUAUGUUGGUAUUGAGUUUGGCUAUGGACUUGUGAGGUGAUUGGUAGCUUUAUUGUGACUUUUAAGUUUUCAAAUAGGAAUUUCCAGCUUUAAUUCUAAAAUUUCAGCUUUAGUAGUGAAUUGUCCAGCCUAGGUAUAUGUUGAUUAUAUCUAGUUUUAUAGCUAAAAUAAGUACUAUAUGUAUCUUAUACCUUGUGAACUUGAUUUGGUGCUGUCUUGUGGUGAGAGUGUAGCCUUGAAAAUGGUUGGAAAUUAGGGAAAAUAAGGGGAAGUGCUACUGAAAAUUUUUUCCGUAGGAGACUUUGAGCAGUCUUGGAAAAUCUGUUAUAUCUUGGUGUAGAAAAAUCCAAAUUGAGUUCCAUUUAUUGCAUUUGAAACUAGACUCAUAAAUCUUUUAACCGUGUAAAAAUCAGGGUUUUGUUUGACUCCUAUAAAUACCAGCAAAUUUACAAAAUUUCUUGAAAAACCAUGACUGUUCUGUUUUGCACAUGAGACAGCAGUGAUUUUGAACUGAAAAUUUGACUAACCUAUGAGUUGAAUUUCAUGAAAAUGUCUUCUAAAGUCUAUUAAUACUUUGAGUCUAUUUUCUAAUGGUAUAAGUUUUGUGAUUUUUUGACCUACAGAACUCAAGUUAUACUUUUUCAAAGAAUGUUGCCAAAGCUGGAAAAUUUUGUCAAAUGAAUUGCAUGGAACUUGGAAAACUUUGAGAAAACUUUUCUAAGUCUUAAACUUUAAUUGGUGUGAUUUUGGAUGGUUUGUGGACUUAAACAAGUGUACUUCAUAGUCCUAGAAUACACUUGGACACUCUUCGAUUGACUUUCAAGUUUGUCUUUGAAUUUUGUGUUUUGAGGGGCCGAUUUUAGAUAGGCUUAUGGCUCAUGAUUAAGGCUCAAAUGAGCACCUUAUUAACCUAAGUUUUGAAUGAUCGGACCAUGACAUCUUGUCUUGGUUACUUUUAGGGUUUAACGGUGGGAACGAGUACGACCCAGAGUCGAAUGUUUGGUUUUAAUCUACUUUAAAAGGUGAGUGUUCCUUGCAUGUGUGUGCUUUAAAUGACUAUGUGGAAUGUUGUCUGAAUGUUAAAUGCUUUCCAAUGAUUGUUAAAUGGAUUUUCGAUGGGCGAGUGUGUUCUUUAUCGCACUCGACCCAAGCAAAAAUGAAUUUUCAAUGAUUGAAUGCUACUUGUGCAUGAUGUAAGCCUUUUGGCUGAACUGAGCCUUUGUCCUUCAUUGCCAGUCAACUCGAGCCAGAAGCGAAUUCGAUCGGGCGGCUGGUGACCCUGGAACAAAGUUUGGUAUACUCGAGUAUUACCACGAAAUCUGGUGGAAAAUUGGCCAGUGAAUUCAAUGCAAUAAAUCGAUGAAUGAAUGACAUGAACAUUGAAGGAGUUUUCACGUGCAAAUGUUUUCUAACAUCGGAGGGAUAAGGAAAAAUGGUUGGCGAAUGAAUGAAUGGCUCCAAAUGAGCAUGCAUCCUUUCAAUGAAUGAAUGAUUGAUUCUUGAAUGACUACUUAUUACUGUGCCAAGUGUGCAAAGUGCUAAGUAUAAAUGUUCCAGUGUUUACAUGCUUGUUUGUUUGUUUGGAAACCUCACUGAACUUUUAGCUCAUCCCAUUAGUUUGUUUUCCUUAUAGGGGUGGAGACUGGAGCAAGUAGCCGUGAACUAGUAUUUAUAAUCUCUUGUACUUGUACUUUUGUAGAUGAGAUGUAUUUUGAAUCUUUAGAAAUGUAAUCCUAUGUUUUACUUUUGGAUUGUGAAUUAAAUUUGAAUUUUUAGUUGGAAAUGAAACUUUUAUGUUAAUUUCGAGGCUUGAA